GUAAUAAUAGCUUAAUUUAUUAAAGCAAUGAUUUUGUAAUUCAUAGAUUGAUUUAUAUCUUAUUACU
This 67-nucleotide transfer RNA is filed under the name Valvata hokkaidoensis. Its description in RNAcentral is "tRNA-Thr". It matches the Rfam family "tRNA". From Rfam's summary of the family: Transfer RNA (tRNA) molecules are approximately 80 nucleotides in length. Their secondary structure includes four short double-helical elements and three loops (D, anti-codon, and T loops). The record is from RNAcentral. Lineage: Eukaryota; Metazoa; Mollusca; Gastropoda; Valvatidae.